GACGAACGCUGGCGGCGUGCCUCAUACAUGCAAGUCGAGCGGCUGUAGCAAUACAGCAGCGGCGGACGGGUGAGUAACACGUGGGCAACCUGGCCUUAAGAGGGGGAUAACGUUUCGAAAGGAACGCUAAUACCGCGUAACGCAGAGAGAUCGCAUGAUUUCAUUGCAAAAGGAGAAAUCCGCUUAAGGAUGGGCCCGCGGCCUAUUAGCUAGUUGGUAAGGGUAAUGGCCUACCAAGGCGACGAUAGGUAGCCGACCUGAGAGGGUGAACGGCCACACUGGAACUGAGAACGGUCCAGACUCCUACGGGAGGCAGCAGUAGGGAAUAUUCCGCAAUGGGCGAAAGCCUGACGGAGCAACGCCGCGUGAGUGAAGAAGAUCUUCGGAUUGUAAAGCUCUGUCAACAGGGACGAUAAUGACGGUACCUGUGGAGGAAGCCACGGCAAACUACGUG
RNAcentral lists this ribosomal RNA (454 nucleotides) under uncultured bacterium. RNAcentral's name for it is "bacterial SSU rRNA". It matches the Rfam family "Bacterial small subunit ribosomal RNA", at positions 28 to 507 of the family's 1533-position model. The record is from RNAcentral.